CACGUAGGGCGCAAGCGUUGUCCGGAAUUAUUGGGCGUAAAGAGCUCGUAGGCGGUCUGUUGCGUCCGCUGUGAAAACUCGGGGCUUAACCCCGAGCCUGCAGUGGAUACGGGCAGACUAGAGGUAGGUAGGGGAGAAUGGAAUUCCCGGUGUAGCGGUGAAAUGCGCAGAUAUCGGGAGGAACACCUGUGGUGUAGACGGCUUUCUGGACCAUAGCUGACGCUGAGGAGCGAAAGCGUGGGGAGCGAACAGG
This 253-nucleotide ribosomal RNA is filed under the name uncultured bacterium. RNAcentral describes it as "partial 16S ribosomal RNA". It matches the Rfam family "Bacterial small subunit ribosomal RNA", at positions 524 to 776 of the family's 1533-position model. The record is from RNAcentral.